GACGAACGCUGGCGGUGUGCUUAACACAUGCAAGUCGAACGGAAAGGCCCUGCUUUUGUGGGGUGCCCGAGUGGCGAACGGGUGAGUAACACGUGAGUAACCUGCCCUAGACUUUGGGGUAACUUCAGGAAACUGGGGCUACUAUCGGAUAGGAGCCCCUGUUGCAUGGAGGGGGUUGGAAAGUUUCUGCGGUUGGGGAUGGACGGGCGGCUUAUGAGCUUGCUGGUGGGGGAGUGGCAUACCCAGGCUUUGACGGGUACCCGGCCUGUGAGGGUGACCGGCGACAAGGGGACUGCGGUACGGCCCAGACGGCUACGGGAGACAGCAGUGGGGAAUAUUACACAGUGGGCCGGAGCCUGAUACAGCAACGCCGCGUGCGGGAAGACGGCCUUCUGGUAGAAAACCGCUUCCGCCUGUGACGAAGCGUGAGUGACGGUAAUGGGUGAAUAAGCACCGGCUAACUACGUG
RNAcentral lists this ribosomal RNA (468 nucleotides) under uncultured bacterium. RNAcentral describes it as "partial 16S ribosomal RNA". It matches the Rfam family "Bacterial small subunit ribosomal RNA", at positions 28 to 507 of the family's 1533-position model. The record is from RNAcentral.